This 517-nucleotide ribosomal RNA is filed under the name Cimex cf. emarginatus OB-2018. RNAcentral's name for it is "partial 16S ribosomal RNA". It matches the Rfam family "Bacterial large subunit ribosomal RNA", at positions 1832 to 2608 of the family's 2925-position model. The record is from RNAcentral. Lineage: Eukaryota; Metazoa; Arthropoda; Insecta; Hemiptera; Cimicidae.
UCUUUUUGUUUUUAUACAAAGUCAGACCUGCCCAAUGAGUUUUAAAUGGCCGCAGUACUUUAACUGUGCAAAGGUAGCAUAAUAAUUUGUUUUUUAAUUGGAAACUAGUAUGAAUGGUCAUACGAAAGAUUAACUUUCUUUAUCUUACUUAAAUUAACUUUAUUUUUCUGUGAAAAAGCAGAAAUUUCAUUAAUAGACGAUAAGACCCUUUAAAACUUUAUUUAUUGUAGAAGUAUAAUUUUGUUAGAUUUUAGUGGUGUACUUUUUUAAUAAGUUUUGUUGGGGCGACAGGUAAAUUUAUUUAACUUUAUUUUUGUUUUUCACUAAUUAGUGUUUAUUUGAUCCAAAUGUAAUUUUGAUUAUAAGUUUAAGUUACUUAAGGGAUAACAGCGUAAUCUUGUUGGAGAGUUCUUAUUGAUGGCGAGGUUUGCGACCUCGAUGUUGGAUUAAAAUUAAUAUUAGGUGUAGCCGCUUAAUAAUUAGGUCUGUUCGACCUUUGAUUUUUUACGUGAUCUGA